AAGUCGUUAACAAGUUCCGUAGGAUCAACCUGCGGAAGGAUCAUUAAGAAUGAAGAGGCCCGGACCAUGCUCGUGGGCGAAACGCUUUCGCAACCGUCGCCAUGUUAAUGGCCGGCCCCUAAACCCUGCCCCACCCCGUUUGCUCGGUAUUGAUUCCCUUCUCGGUUGGCUUUGGGCCAGGCCCGCGACCCUCCUGGGGGCAAGCGCUGGCAUUCCGGCUGGAGAGUGCCUGCCAGAGGAAUCCAAACUCAUUGUAAUUUAAUGCCGUCUGGAGUACUACGAAAAUAGUAAAA
Molecule: unclassified non-coding RNA, 293 nt
Filed under: plant metagenome
Description: partial contains small subunit ribosomal RNA and internal transcribed spacer 1
Source: RNAcentral